GGUUGCUUAGUCAAGUGGUCUACGACGCUGCGUUUAGGCCGCAGUCCCGCAAGGGGCGUGGGUUCGAACCCCACAGCAAUCA
Non-coding RNA from Thoreauomyces humboldtii, 82 nucleotides. Lineage: Eukaryota; Fungi; Chytridiomycota; Chytridiomycetes; Spizellomycetales; Powellomycetaceae. The record is from the annotation of a GenBank genome assembly.